AAGUCGUAACAAGGUUUCGUGGCAUGGCUUCCCCAAGCAGUUAGUGAAUGACUCACUGACUGUGUAAGGAUAACGCCUCACGGUUGCUAGAGGUCGAUCACCGACCGGCAGACAUGUCACAGGGUCACCACGCCCCUUAAUCACUCCACUUGAAAGCCCCGCCUAGUGGUAACGCGCUAGGUAAAAAAAACCGAACAACUGUUAACAAUGGAUAUCUUGGUUCUC
Molecule: unclassified non-coding RNA, 225 nt
Filed under: fungal sp.
Lineage: Eukaryota; Fungi
Description: partial internal transcribed spacer region
Source: RNAcentral